Molecule: ribosomal RNA, 253 nt
Filed under: uncultured bacterium
Lineage: Bacteria
Description: partial 16S ribosomal RNA
Rfam family: Bacterial small subunit ribosomal RNA
Source: RNAcentral
GACAGAGGGUGCAAACGUUGUCCGGAAUUAUUGGGCGUAAAGAGCUCGUAGGCGGUCUGUUACGUCGGCUGUGAAAACCUGGGGCUCAACUCCGGGCCUGCAGCCGAUACGGGCAGACUAGAGUUCGGCAGGGGAGACUGGAAUUCCUGGUGUAGCGGUGAAAUGCGCAGAUAUCAGGAGGAACACCGGUGGCGAAGGCGGGUCUCUGGGCCGAAACUGACGCUGAGGAGCGAAAGCGUGGGGAGCGAACAGG